RNAcentral lists this ribosomal RNA (500 nucleotides) under uncultured bacterium. Its description in RNAcentral is "partial 16S ribosomal RNA". It matches the Rfam family "Bacterial small subunit ribosomal RNA", at positions 30 to 523 of the family's 1533-position model. The record is from RNAcentral.
AUUGAACGCUGGCGGCAUGCCUUACACAUGCAAGUCGAACGGCAGCACGGGAGCAAUCCUGGUGGCGAGUGGCGAACGGGUGAGUAAAGUAUCGGAACGUGCCCAGUCGUGGGGGAUAACGUAGCGAAAGUUACGCUAAUACCGCAUACGAUCUAAGGAUGAAAGCGGGGGAUCGCAAGACCUCGCGCGAUUGGAGCGGCCGAUAUCAGAUUAGGUAGUUGGUGGGGUAAAGGCUCACCAAGCCGACGAUCUGUAGCUGGUCUGAGAGGACGACCAGCGACACUGGGACUGGGACACGGCCCAGACUCCUACGGGAGGCAGCAGUGGGGAAUUUUGGGCAAUGGGCGAAAGCCUGAUCCAGCCAUGCCGCGUGCAGGAUGAAGGCCUUCGGGUUGUAAACUGCUUUUGUACGGAACGAAAAGGUUUGGGCUAAUAAGCUGAGCUCAUGACGGUACCGUAAGAAUAAGCACCGGCUAACUACGUGCCAGCCGCCGCCGUAA